This 495-nucleotide ribosomal RNA is filed under the name Triticum aestivum (bread wheat). RNAcentral describes it as "partial small subunit ribosomal RNA". Lineage: Eukaryota; Viridiplantae; Streptophyta; Magnoliopsida; Poales; Poaceae. The record is from RNAcentral.
UUAGAUUGGCCGACACGUUUUGCGAUAUGCUUAGGCAUUGCAAGAGGUCUGGCCUAUCUUCAUGAAGAAUCUAGCAUUUGUGUUGCGCACAGGGACAUCAAGGCCAGCAAUAUGUUACUUGAUGCCAAUCUCAAUCCUAAGAUCUUAGAUUUCGGGGUCGCCAAACUUUAUGAUGACCUGAAAACAUGUGGACACGAGGGUUGCUGGCAUAUUGUUACCACCUUGCUAACCUCUGUCUAUGUAGUAUUUUUGUAUGUAGUAGAUGGCAUCUUGAUCCUAUUGAUCCUACUGGCCGAUGUUGAUGACUUCUCGGCCAUGAAGAACUCAUCCGCACUCUACAAGGUCACGCCGGCUCCACGUUGGAGCGGUGGAGGUGGCUCGGCGGCACGCGUUCAGCCCGCAUCGAAGUUUGUGGUGGGUCGAAGCCCCAAUGACUCAGUUAUAACUUCUGUUUUCUUUGGAGUGCUUGUACCACCGGCGUCCUUUAAUAUAUGA